AUUGAACGCUGGCGGCAGGCUUAACACAUGCAAGUCGAGCGGAGUGAUGGUGCUUGCACUAUCACUUAGCGGCGGACGGGUGAGUAAUGCUUAGGAAUCUGCCUAUUAGUGGGGGACAACAUCUCGAAAGGGAUGCUAAUACCGCAUACGUCCUACGGGAGAAAGCAGGGGAUCACUUGUGACCUUGCGCUAAUAGAUGAGCCUAAGUCGGAUUAGCUAGUUGGUGGGGUAAAGGCCUACCAAGGCGACGAUCUGUAGCGGGUCUGAGAGGAGGAUCCGCCACACUGGGACUGAGACACGGCCCAGACUCCUACGGGAGGCAGCAGUGGGGAAUAUUGGACAAUGGGGGGAACCCUGAUCCAGCCAUGCCGCGUGUGUGAAGAAGGCCUUAUGGUUGUAAAGCACUUUAAGCGAGGAGGAGGCUCUUUUGGUUAAUACCCAAGAUGAGUGGACGUUACUCGCAGAAUAAGCACCGGCUAACUCUGUGCCAGCAGCCGCAGUAA
This 503-nucleotide ribosomal RNA is filed under the name uncultured bacterium. RNAcentral describes it as "partial 16S ribosomal RNA". It matches the Rfam family "Bacterial small subunit ribosomal RNA", at positions 30 to 523 of the family's 1533-position model. The record is from RNAcentral.